This 633-nucleotide long non-coding RNA is filed under the name Phoenix dactylifera (date palm). RNAcentral describes it as "long non-coding RNA (PDAC_LNC020117)". Lineage: Eukaryota; Viridiplantae; Streptophyta; Magnoliopsida; Arecales; Arecaceae. The record is from RNAcentral.
UAAUAUGACUUGCUCAUGUCGGUUCACUCUCGACUUGAUUGUAGGAGGUUUUGAUUUAGGUCUCAAUUGGGUUUGCUACAUCACAUGUAAACCUAUCUACCCGACUCUCAUUCACAUCACAUGCAAACGGCGCAUUGCAGGCAGUUAUAAUCGCGGCAAUAAUUAAAGCUAAACUUUAACUAGGUGAUGAUCAUGGAUUCUAAUUAGGUCGUAUUACAAGCACAUGCACAUCAAUCGAUCAAGUGGUCUUCAACUCUUGAAUUGGUUCCAAGCUUCCUUGAUUCGAUCCUUGAUCAACUCUUGAUCCCAUCCCCAUCAACCGCUUAGAUCACCUUUCAUCUCAUGCCUUUGCUUCAGCUUGAUCGUUGAUGUACAUCACAUCACAGAAAUACAACCAGAUGUAAAAUAAAAAUAAAAAUAAAUUACAUCUCCUUUUAGGAGGCACGCAGGCCUCUCAAAAUAUCAAAUAAGAUGCAUGCAAGCAUCUGAAAAAUUACAUGACAUCGCAGAUCACAUCGCAGGUCAUUACAUUUGAUACCAAAAGGGUUUGAAUCCUAUGAUCAUCACCGUAUGCAACAAUUAUAAUUUCAGAUCUGAAAACUAACUGAUUAUAUCAUUACAUAGGUCGCUGAU